GUGCCAGCAGCCGCGGUAAUACGUACGAGGCGAGCGUUAUCCGGAAUUACUGGGCGUAAAGCGCGCGCAGGCGGAUGCUUAAGUAGGGCGUGAAAUCUCCCGGCCUAACUGGGAGGGGUCGCUCUAGACUGGGCGUCUCGAGGACUGCAGAGGUGGGUGGAAUUCCUGGUGUAGUGGUGAAAUGCGUAGAGAUCAGGAGGAACACCGGUGGCGAAGGCGGCCCACUGGGCAGUCACUGACGCUGAGGCGCGAAAGCUCGGGGAGCGAACGGGAUUAGAUACCCCCGUAGUCC
This 292-nucleotide ribosomal RNA is filed under the name uncultured bacterium. RNAcentral's name for it is "partial 16S ribosomal RNA". It matches the Rfam family "Bacterial small subunit ribosomal RNA", at positions 505 to 796 of the family's 1533-position model. The record is from RNAcentral.